GGAUUCUCCAGUAACGGCGAGUGAACGGGGAUUAGCCCAUCACCGAAGCCCGUGUGCUUUUGCAUGCAGGGCAAUGUGGUGUUAAGGCUUUUACCUGGGACUGUGAACCCACCAAGAAGUCCAGCUCCGAUCUUGGCUUGCAUAGUACUCAAGCGGGUGAGAGGCCCGUGAUGGUGGUAUUACUAUAUCGCAGUCUAGAUGUGCAUGCUCGGACGAGUCGGAUUGCUUGAGAAUGCAGUCCAAAGUGGGUGGUAAACUCCAUCCAAGGCUAAAUACUGGCAUGAGUCCGAUAGUAGACAAGUACCGUGAGGGAAAGUUGAAAAGUACUCUGAAGAGAGAGUAAAUAGUACGUGAAGCCGAUUGCAGGGAAGCUGGUGGAGUCAAGCUUCAUGCUUGAGGGGUUGCUGUCAUGAGUAAUGUGUGUAUUGUGCACUCUGGAUAGUCAGCUUGGAAUAAGUUGGGCGCAUUCGUGUGCUUCAAGUCAUUCUGGGCUGUGUGUUUGAAGCUGUUCAUUGUGUGUUCUGCUCUAAGUAAUCUAUCCCUCGCUGCAUAAAUCACAGUCGAUAUUGGAGUGCUGCAUGAUUGUCUAACUGUAUCGUGAUGGGCCUUGUGCUUGCCUGGUGCAGAUAGGCAGGUUUAAUCUAUGGCCUUGUCAUUGUGUUUACAAAGAUUUGGUCGACUCUAAUGCUGUGUCUCAGAUAUCGUGAUCGCUUGGUGUCUCGUCUACGGACCUGGCAUUAGCUAGAACUGUGAUUCUGAGGUAGA
This 765-nucleotide ribosomal RNA is filed under the name Haliotrematoides plectridium. RNAcentral's name for it is "LSU rRNA". It matches the Rfam family "Eukaryotic large subunit ribosomal RNA", at positions 72 to 628 of the family's 3401-position model. The record is from RNAcentral. Lineage: Eukaryota; Metazoa; Platyhelminthes; Monogenea; Dactylogyridea; Ancyrocephalidae.